AAUAAGAGGUCGGGCAGGCGGGCAAGCUAGCUCCCUUCUAGUCAAUGGGGCGAAGGCUGGGGACGCCGGCAGAGGAAGCCUAACGUUCUGGGCCCCCGGGCCCAGGCGCAUCCUCCCUCCGCGCUCCCGCUCCCAGGCUGGGCUCGAGUCGGGUCUGACCCCGCAGGCUCGGGCGACCGCCGGCCCCGGCGAGAAGCGCUUCCCCCAGGCUUCUUCCCUCGGGGGCCCAGACCCGGAGAGGAGCGUCUCCUCUGACUCCAGCUUUGAGUCUCCCACGUCCCGCACAACAGGCGCCACCAGCAGGGAUCCCGGUUAGGGAGGCUCACAGAAGACGCGCGAGAAAGGGGGUGAAGGAAAGAGAAAAGGGACGGAGCAAAGGGGCGCAGAGUGAUUUUUCACGGUAAAUAAAACACUGGCACACGCAGAGGGUAAGUUUGGGGAGAAAAUGAGGGGCGAGCGAAAACCCAAGGAAGAGGAGCAGGUGGAGUGGUCCCUCCACGCGCGGGAGCGAGCGGGUCUCCGGCUGGGCGACGCGGGCUAGGGAGCCAGCCGACGCAGCCCAGCUGGCCCGAGCAGGUUCAACCACUGGAGCGCGAGACGGACCGCGCGACCCACCUGACUGAGAAGCGCUGGGCUGGACGGUCCCCGCCGCCACGAGAAGGCUCAUCCAGCCCCACAGUCCUGUCGCCAGCUUCAUUUUUUGGAAGUCUCAGAUCCCGUGCUGACAAUUACAUGUCCAAAUGGCAUAUCCCCUUUCGGGCACGCGGAGGAGAUCCCUCAGCCGGGCGCGCGUGGGGGCGCGAAGGGGGGCUGGUGCGCUCGGUGCACCCGCUCCGAGUCCGCGCCCGCGGGUCCAGGGCCCGGGCCCCAAGAGCAAGAGAGGGUGCGCGUGAGGGUGAGCGCGGGUGGGAGUGUGCUCGAGUGUGUGCGCCGUGCUCCUGGCCGGGGACCGGGCAGCUAUUUCCCUGUGGGAGCCUUCGCGUUCUCGCUCCCUCCUCACUUUCUCACUCUCUCUCUCUCUCACUGGUUGGUCAACAAUAAAAAGGAAGGGUUCGGAAAAGGGUUUCCAAAAAAAGUUGAUUGCAAAGAGGCGGUAGGUUUCCGGCCUCUCCCCCCAGCCGGUCUCUGUUCAGCUCCCUUUUCAGUUUCCUUGCACCUCCAGUCCAAAUUGGGAGGAAAGGGAGGGGUGGAGGGGGGGAAGCUUCUUGCUUUACCCCCGGUCCUGUCCUUCUUUUUUCCUGUCAGCUUUCCUCACACUUGUCCGGCGGCUG
This 1271-nucleotide long non-coding RNA is filed under the name Sus scrofa (pig). RNAcentral describes it as "lncRNA (ENSSSCG00045026000.1)". The record is from RNAcentral. Lineage: Eukaryota; Metazoa; Chordata; Mammalia; Artiodactyla; Suidae.